CAAAUACUCCCUCCGUCCGGAAAUACUCGUCAUCAAAAUGAAUAUAAAAGGGGAUGUAUCUAGAUGUAUUUUAAUUCUAGAUACAUCCCUUUUUAUCCAUUUUGAUAACAAGUAUUUUUGGACGGAGGGAGUAAUAG
Triticum aestivum (bread wheat) is the source of this 137-nucleotide non-coding RNA. The record is from Rfam. Lineage: Eukaryota; Viridiplantae; Streptophyta; Magnoliopsida; Poales; Poaceae.